AAAGCCGGGAGUCCAGUGAACGGGCAGAAGCAGGGCCAUGCCCAAGCCACCCCCAAGAUCCCCCUGAACCUGCACCUCCAUCACGACCCAUUCAGGAGCCUCCAGGAGCCCAGACACCAGCCCCCCACCAUGGGCAGCAAGGAGCGCUUCCACUGGCAGAGCCACAACGUGAAGCAGAGCGGCGUGGAUGACAUGGUGCUUCUUCCCCAGAUCACCGAAGACGCCAUCGCCGCCAACCUCCGGAAGCGCUUCAUGGACGACUACAUCUUCACCUACAUCGGCUCCGUGCUCAUCUCUGUAAACCCCUUCAAGCAGAUGCCCUACUUCACCGACCGUGAGAUCGACCUCUAUCAGGGCGCGGCCCAGUAUGAGAAUCCCCCGCACAUCUACGCCCUCACGGACAACAUGUACCGGAACAUGCUUAUCGACUGUGAGAACCAGUGUGUCAUCAUUAGUGGAGAGAGUGGAGCUGGGAAGACAGUGGCAGCCAAAUAUAUCAUGGGCUACAUCUCCAAGGUGUCUGGCGGAGGCGAGAAGGUCCAGGUGAGACGAGGAAAACAGAAGGAUGAGCUGGGUCACCCUCACCUGCAUGGUAGUGCAGCCCCACCCAUCUGCACUCCUGCCUCAGUCUGACUUCUUCCCACUCCACCUGCCUCUGCCCCAGCACGUCAAAGAUAUCAUCCUGCAGUCCAACCCGCUGCUCGAGGCCUUCGGCAACGCCAAGACUGUGCGCAACAACAAUUCCAGCCGCUUUGGCAAGUACUUUGAGAUCCAGUUCAGCCGAGGUGGGGAGCCAGAUGGGGGCAAGAUCUCCAACUUCUUGCUGGAGAAGUCCCGCGUGGUCAUGCAAAAUGAAAAUGAGAGGAACUUCCACAUCUACUACCAGCUGCUGGAAGGGGCCUCCCAGGAGCAAAGGCAGAACCUGGGCCUC
This 931-nucleotide small RNA is filed under the name Pan troglodytes (chimpanzee). RNAcentral describes it as "retained intron". Lineage: Eukaryota; Metazoa; Chordata; Mammalia; Primates; Hominidae. The record is from RNAcentral.